RNAcentral lists this long non-coding RNA (536 nucleotides) under Fukomys damarensis (Damara mole-rat). Its description in RNAcentral is "lncRNA (ENSFDAG00000024971.1)". Lineage: Eukaryota; Metazoa; Chordata; Mammalia; Rodentia; Bathyergidae. The record is from RNAcentral.
UUGGUGCAGCCUGACGUACCUGUGAGCAGAUGAAGGGGCAUUUGACUCAAAAGCAAAUCUGAGGGUUCUGGCACCGUACACCUGUACCCCCACUAAGCACCGCCCAGAGCGGACGUUAAGUCGGAUAAUUCCACUCAGCUGUCUGAGUUAUUUCAGUCGUUUCGGCGACUGAAUCAAGUGACCCCGUGUGUCAGGGUCGUUUGACAGCUGGUGGUCUGGAAACUGUCACUUGUGUGGUGCGGUAAGGGGACUCACAGGUUCUUAGCAGGAACCGGGACGACGGGAGAGCCCAGCGGUCACACUGCCAACAGGAGUUCGGGUGCUGAGAUCCGACUUUUCAUAAGACCCAGCGAGGAGCGUCGUACUGGGAUGUUUAAAAAGUGUUUGAAAGUGGACCAAAAGCAAAGACAGGGUCUGCACGACACGGAGAGGUGUUGCCAAGGAGAGUGCUGGCUGCCGGUCAGAAGACCCACUGAGCAAGAAACAGGAGGAGGUCUGACUUCUACCUCCGACCUAGCCACGGUGUGGCCUCGGGC